This is a long non-coding RNA of Mesoplodon densirostris (Blainville's beaked whale), 379 nucleotides long. RefSeq lists it as uncharacterized. Lineage: Eukaryota; Metazoa; Chordata; Mammalia; Artiodactyla; Ziphiidae. The record is from RefSeq and is a predicted model, not a curated record. The transcript has 3 exons.
UAAGCGGGCGGGCGGGGCUUUUGUGCCCGGCAAGAAUCGUAGACUAAGCAGCGAGAAGCGCCCACCAGGGAAGAGGCAGAAGCGCGAGAUCAUGUGUGAUGUGGAAUCCACAGAUAAGGAGGGCCGAUUGUGCUCUAAGAUGAUUGUUAUAAGGCACACUCACCAACGCUUGAGGCAAUCGAGGUUAUACAGUCACCGUUGCAGAACUGAAAGCGGAGAAAUUCAGAACUGCUGGAUGAGAAAUGAUGAAUAUAAGAAUGAGAUAUUUCUACUAAAUCCACAAUGGAGAAGAUUUAAAGUAAAAUGAAAGCUUCUCUCCCCAUGCCCAGGAUGAAAUGAGCCUAGCUCUUAAAGGCAUUCAGGCCAACCCUGCACUUCC